AGUUGAUAAUGCAGGAAACAGUUUGGUAGAAAGAUUUAUAAUUUCGGAAGAUCAAAUUGGGAAAAUUGUUUGUAUGUUGGUACAGAAGGGUUUGAUGAGGUUUGAAGAUAAAAGGAUGUUAUAUAUAUUACUGGACGAUCCAAAAGGCCCCUCUCAGUGAAGCUCAUGUGAUUUUUUUUUUUGGGCAAAGAGCAUGUCUGCUUUAGCCAAUGGGAAUGUCUGCUUAAAGAAUUGAACCAAUAUAAAGUGUUCCAGCUAUAAAGGUUACAUGGAAUAACAUGUUUUCCUAUGGGGAGCAUUCAUGGAUUUCUGAAAGGAUAUAGCAGAAAAGUGGUACAAUGACC
Molecule: unclassified non-coding RNA, 344 nt
Filed under: Hevea brasiliensis (rubber tree)
Lineage: Eukaryota; Viridiplantae; Streptophyta; Magnoliopsida; Malpighiales; Euphorbiaceae
Source: RNAcentral